This 237-nucleotide ribosomal RNA is filed under the name uncultured bacterium. RNAcentral describes it as "partial 16S ribosomal RNA". It matches the Rfam family "Bacterial small subunit ribosomal RNA", at positions 80 to 334 of the family's 1533-position model. The record is from RNAcentral.
UCAUUUCGGUGGUGAGUGGCAGACGGGUGAGUAACACGUGGGAACGUACCCUUCGGUUCGGAACAACUCUGGGAAACUGGAGCUAAUACCGGAUACGCCCUUUUGGGGAAAGGUUUACUGCCGAAGGAUCGGCCCGCGUCUGAUUAGCUAGUUGGUGGGGUAACGGCCUACCAAGGCGACGAUCAGUAGCUGGUCUGAGAGGAUGAUCAGCCACACUGGGACUGAGACACGGCCCAG